CCAAAGAUAUAGCCAGAGACAGUUCAAUAAAUCCACAUCAGUAUGAUCACAGUAAACAUUAUGAACUAAGAAUUAAUGAUGAGUUAUAUGAUCAAUAAUUAUCUAAAAAUGAAAAUCGAAACAUUAUAUAAAAAGUUGAAAAUAAAAUAUUGAAUAAUUAUUUUUAAUAGUGAAACACAUGUUUGUUUUGCUCGAUAAUUAGCAAUUGAGUCCUCGUUGUGGUAAAAAAAGCUAAUCUUUUUGCGUAACCCAUUUUUGUCUUUAACUUGCUUAGUGUUUAGCUUUUAACUCAAUCAGUGUUUAGUUUUAAUUUAACUUCAAUCAAUUAAUUAAUAAUUAAUGUGUCUUUGCCACAUUUACGUGAUGACUUUAUACACUUUUAUUACAAAAUAACGUUUUUUGGUCUAUUCAACUUCCAUUUAUUUGGCCACCAUGAUGAUGAUCAUCAACAUUAACCAUCACAAGCUUCCUCCAUUAACCUCUCCAUUGUUGCAGUUUUAAGUAGACCAUAAGGGAAAGAGAAAAGAAAAGGUAACCAAUCAAUUGAUCUUCUUUGUUUGUCCCUGGAAAACGAUUCAGAAGCCAGGAUCGUUGGAAACUUUACUCCUGUUAAAUCUAAAAAGAGACACCAUGAAAGGGAAAAAAAUCAAUUCUAUGGAACCAUCUUAGGUUGUGAAGAGAUAAGUAUGAUAAAGAGUUUGACAUUACUAUUAGACAAAUAUCAAACCACUGUAAACACCUAGGAAACAUAUUUCAUCCUGAAAUACCAGAAAAUGCAUAAUUUCAACUUGGCAAUUCCAAUCAACUUACUAAUUAACGAAUUUCAUGGAUGAUAAUUGAGAUGGAUGAAUUCAUUUUCCAGUUAAUGGGUCAUUGUGAUGCUAGAGGAUCAACCCUGAGAAAAUGAUUGAGUUGCUUCUUGAGUUACCUUUGAAUCAAGUAUUUUUCGUUUACUAUUAACUAUUCUGAUAACACUUUGGUUUGCUGUUGAAACUUGUUCAUAUUCAAGUGAUCUUGAUGAGAAUUAAAUGAGAAAAAGGAAAUUAACCAGAAUGAAAAUCACAAGUGGCCAGGAGUAAAAUUUAAUGAUAAAGAUUUCAAUAAUGGAUUACCAGGAAUUUCAAUCUAUUAAUGGUUAAUUGUUUACUAAAUGGACGCUCUGCACUAAUGGCUCUCGACUAAUCCAUGGACAUUUGAUCUGGCUCAAGAAAUUAUCUAUUUUACACAUUCUCUAUUUAUUAAUUGACCAAUUAUAAUUAGAGAGGAUUUAUGUCUCAAUUAAGUUUAAUUUGCUCUUUGGACAAUCUCACAUUGCCCAGAAAAGUAAAUUAAAUUAGCUGUUGAAAGUAA
This is a non-coding RNA of Tetranychus urticae (two-spotted spider mite), 1350 nucleotides long. Lineage: Eukaryota; Metazoa; Arthropoda; Arachnida; Trombidiformes; Tetranychidae. The record is from RefSeq and is a predicted model, not a curated record.